Phasianus colchicus (ring-necked pheasant) is the source of this 2522-nucleotide long non-coding RNA. RefSeq lists it as uncharacterized. Lineage: Eukaryota; Metazoa; Chordata; Aves; Galliformes; Phasianidae. The record is from RefSeq and is a predicted model, not a curated record.
GAGCGCGGAGAGCCGGCGCGCCCGCUUGGUGCCGGCUUCAGACGGCCGAAGCCGCGCGCUGCGGGGAGCCGCGGAAGAUGCAUUUCUCUUUUCCAUAGAAUCCCGCUCAGCCCGGCGCGACGUGAUUUACGGCCCCAGGCGGCUCUACAGAUAUUAUUUACAGUAUUAAUAUUUCCUCUGUUACACCUUUAAAUCUUUCCGGGCUCAACUUUAGAUGACGCUAUCUUCAUGGUGAAAUGAAACUAUUAAAUUACAUCUCCAUCUAAGAUGAAUGACAACUGUCACAGGAGUGACUCGACAGAGAUGAAGCAGAAAGCGCCUGAGAUUACGCGGGGCUGAUUUAUAAAGAUUGCAUAAAGAUUUCUAUAACCCAGCUUCAUGACUCAGCAUAUCGGAUGGUAAUAAGUUACAGUAGGUAGAAAUUUAUUUCUGCUGGAAGAAGCCAAGGAGAGCUUCUCUCUCCCUCUCCCCCCACCUCCCAGCAGCCCUCUCCCGCUAGCCCUGCACGGGCUGAGCCCGCAGACCGCCGGCCGCCAGCACCAGCCCCGCCGGGGAGAGCCUUGCGGCACGGUGCUUUGCAGUACCGUCCGUUAAGCAGGUUGAAACAUUUAUUUGAUGGCACAGAUGCGCGUGGCAUUGCCCUCCUCACACUGAUGUGCCCCGGCUGAGCCCAGCCUCAACCCGCAGCGCGGUGCUGCGACCGCAGCUCCGGCGGGCGGUGACCGCGCGUUUUCCUGCAGGAGCAGAAAAUGAACGCAGGUGGCCCCGAACGGGAGUCAGACCGUUCUGCUGCACAAUGAACGGUGUAUCUCGCUGAUGUUUAAGCAGGCGAAGAUGCAGGCGGGCGUCCUUAGCUUCCUAGACUGAAAGUAAAAUCCGUUACUGAAUGAAGCCGUUUGCAGUCUUGUAGGGGCAUUCCGAAGUUGUUGGCUGCAAGUCAGCCCUGAAAGGGAAUCUCCAGGUUAAGUUCUUUUGUGACUGGGUAAGCCCCGGCAGCUGCUGUGUGGCCGUUCAGAUGCGAAUCGUCCUGAAUGAAAAAGGAGAUGAAAAGGAGGCUAAAUCUUCGGAAAAAGGAAACAAAACAAACAAAACUACGACAAAACAACUUUUCGAAGUGUGAAAAGGUAGGAGAAGAAAAAGGUCAGCAGAGAUGACGGGAGGAGGAAGAGAAAAACUGGAGGGAGUGAAAAAGGAGAAAAGAAACAUGGCAUGUGGAAUGGGCAAAGACAGGCAGUAAUAGUAGUCAGUAACUGCAUACAGGUGUUUUUUUCACUUACGAACUAAGCAAGACAGCUGAAAAAUGACUCACAAGAUGCAAGUAAUGCAACAGAUCCCACAAGAGCACAAAUUCACCUGUCUUUCAUGAAGGUUCAGAGGAAUGCUGAUACGGAGCCUUGGUGUCCUCAUCCCUGGUCCCUGGAGCAGAGAUCCUGGAGAUGUGGAUCCAUCUGUCAUGGACAGCCUUGCAGGAUGCUAUCAGAAUAAGGAUAACCACAGCAGUCAGUUGGCUUCCUCAGACUUCUUCAAGACAACUAUAGACAAACUAUUAUUUGCUGGAAGAAGGCUUCAGCCCUGUUCAUCUGCUGCUAUAAAUUAUGGCACUGGCUCUUUUGAUCUGGCUGCUGGUCAGUGAUCACAGAAUGGCUUAAGUUGGAAAGGACCCUGAAGAUCACCCAGUUUCAACUCUCUUGCCAUGGGCAGCAACAUGUCACCAGAACAGGCUGCUCAGGGGCCCAUCCACCUUGGCUUUGAACACCUCCAAGGAUGGGGCACUCACAGCUUCUCUGGGCAGCCUGUGCCACUGCCUCACUGCCCUCUGAGUAAAGAAUUUGUCAAAUCCUAAUCUAACAAACAUCUAAUUUCCCCUCAUUUAUUAAGCUAUUGCUUGUAAUAUAAAGCUAUUACCCUUCUCCUGUCACUAUCCAACCAUGUAAAAAGUUGGUCCCCCUCAUAUUUAUAAACUCCCCUCAAGUGCUGGAAGGCUGCAAUGAGAUUUCUCUAGAGCCUUUUGUUUUCCAAGCUAAGCAAGCCCUAGUGUCUCAACUCUUCUUCACAGGAGAGGAGCUCCAGCCCUCUAAUCAUCUUUGUGGCCUUCUCUGGACCCUCUCCUACAGCCCCCCAUUCUUCCUGUGCUGGAGGCCCCAGAUCUGGACGCAGUACUCCAGAUGGGGCCUCACAAAGGCAGAGCAGAGGGGAACAAUCCCCUUCCCUCCCUACUGGCCAUCCCUCUCCUGAUGCAGCCCAGGAUAUCAUUGGCCUUCCGGGCUGUAGGCAAAUAUUGCUGGCUUGUGUUUUUUAUCCACCAGAACCCUCCAGGUUCUGUUCUGCAGGGCUGCUCUCAAUGAGUUCAUCUCCCAGUCUGUACACAUAUCUGGGAUUGCUCUGACCAAGUGCAACACCUUUCACUUGGCCUUGUUUAACCUCACUAGAUUCAUAUGUGCCCAUUUUUUUGUGCAAGUCCAGGUUCCUCUGGAUGGCAUAUCUCCCUUCUGUUGUGUCAGCUGCACCACUCACUCAUCGUG